This 704-nucleotide ribosomal RNA is filed under the name uncultured prokaryote. Its description in RNAcentral is "bacterial SSU rRNA". It matches the Rfam family "Bacterial small subunit ribosomal RNA", at positions 28 to 750 of the family's 1533-position model. The record is from RNAcentral.
GAUGAACGCUGACAGAAUGCUUAACACAUGCAAGUCGAUUCAAGUUACCUUCGGGUAAUGAGGAUGGCGGACGGGUGAGUAACGCGUAAGGAACUUGCCUCUUGGUCUGGGACAACUGUUGGAAACGACAGCUAAUACCGGAUAUUAUGAGAUUCUCGCAUGGGAAACUUAUGAAAGCUAUAUGCGCCAAGAGAGAGCCUUGCGUUCCAUUAGCUAGUUGGUGGGGUAACGGCCCACCAAGGCGACGAUGGAUAGCCGGCCUGAGAGGGUGAACGGCCACAAGGGGACUGAGACACGGCCCUUACUCCUACGGGAGGCAGCAGUGGGGAAUAUUGGACAAUGGGCCACAAGCCUGAUCCAGCAAUUCUGUGUGCACGAUGAAGGUCUUCGGAUUGUAAAGUGCUUUCAGUUGGGAAGAAGAAAGUGACGGUACCAACAGAAGAAGCGACGGCUAAAUACGUGCCAGCAGCCGCGGUAAUACGUAUGUCGCAAGCGUUAUCCGGAUUUAUUGGGCGUAAAGCGCGUCUAGGCGGAAAAAUAAGUCUGAUGUUAAAAUGCGGGGCUCAACUCCGUAUUGCGUUGGAAACUGUUUUUCUAGAGUACUGGAGAGGUGGGCGGAACUACAAGUGUAGAGGUGAAAUUCGUAGAUAUUUGUAGGAAUGCCGAUGGAGAAGUCAGCUCACUGGNCAGAUACUGACGCUGAA